RNAcentral lists this ribosomal RNA (509 nucleotides) under uncultured Paraglomus. Its description in RNAcentral is "SSU rRNA". It matches the Rfam family "Eukaryotic small subunit ribosomal RNA", at positions 569 to 1084 of the family's 1831-position model. Lineage: Eukaryota; Fungi; Glomeromycota; Glomeromycetes; Paraglomerales; Paraglomeraceae. The record is from RNAcentral.
AGCAGCCGCGGUAAUUCCAGCUCCAAUAGCGUAUAUUAAAGUUGUUGUGGUUAAAAAGCUCGUAGUUGAACCUUGGGCCUGGCUGGCCGGUCCGCCUCACCGCGUGUACUGGUCCGGCCGGGCCUUUCCCUCUGUGGAACCCCAUGCCCUUCACUGGGUGUGGCGGGGAAACAGGACUUUUACUGUGAAAAAAUUAGAGUGCUCCAGGCAGGCCUAUGCUCGAAUACAUUAGCAUGGAAUAAUAGAAUAGGACGUGUGGUUCUAUUUUGUUGGUUUCUAGGACCGCCGUAAUGAUUAAUAGGGACAGUCGGGGGCAUCAGUAUUCAAUUGUCAGAGGUGAAAUUCUUGGAUUUAUUGAAGACUAACUACUGCGAAAGCAUUUGCCAAGGAUGUUUUCAUUAAUCAGGAACGAAAGUUAGGGGAUCGAAGACGAUCAGAUACCAUCGUAGUCUUAACCAUAAACUAUGCCGACUAGGGAUCGGACGAUGUUAUAUUUUGACUCGUUCGGC